RNAcentral lists this ribosomal RNA (473 nucleotides) under uncultured bacterium. Its description in RNAcentral is "bacterial SSU rRNA". It matches the Rfam family "Bacterial small subunit ribosomal RNA", at positions 335 to 801 of the family's 1533-position model. The record is from RNAcentral.
ACUCCUACGGGAGGCAGCAGUAGGGAAUCUUCCACAAUGGGCGCAAGCCUGAUGGAGCAACACCGCGUGAGUGAAGAAGGGUUUCGGCUCGUAAAGCUCUGUUGUUAAAGAAGAACACGUGUGAGAGUAACUGUUCAUACGUUGACGGUAUUUAACCAGAAAGUCACGGCUAACUACGUGCCAGCAGCCGCGGUAAUACGUAGGUGGCAAGCGUUAUCCGGAUUUAUUGGGCGUAAAGAGAGUGCAGGCGGUUUUCUAAGUCUGAUGUGAAAGCCUUCGGCUUAACCGGAGAGGUGCAUCGGAAACUGGAUAACUUGAGUGCAGAAGAGGUAGUGGAACUCCAUGUGUAGCGGUGGAAUGCGUAGAUAUAUGGAAGAACACCAGUGGCGAAGGCGGCUACCUGGUCUGCAACUGACGCUGAGACUCGAAAGCAUGGGUAGCGAACAGGAUUAGAUACCCCUGGUAGGAUAGCG